Long non-coding RNA from Triticum aestivum (bread wheat), 2556 nucleotides. RefSeq lists it as uncharacterized. The transcript has 3 exons. NCBI's taxonomy places the organism in Eukaryota, Viridiplantae, Streptophyta, Magnoliopsida, Poales, Poaceae. The record is from RefSeq and is a predicted model, not a curated record.
GACGGGCCACGGCCCCGACCGCCGCAGCAGCACGCCCCCGACGGCCGAACGACAACAGCAGCACGCCCCCGACUGCCCACUCUGACGACGAUUCAUGCGGUCCAGAUGUUGCUAACUGAAUCCUUCGGCCAGGCAUCUUGCUCUCUUAUUUUUCUUCAUACAGGGCCGAUCAAUUGUCAUGGUGUCCUUAAGCACAAUUCACAAGCUUCCCCGUUAUCUCUGGGUUAUAGAUUUGUUGCACUCAAUGGAAACUGGGAGCAUUACUCUCCUUGACUGGAAUCAGUGGCCAGAUUAUAGAUCACACAGGCUGUUGGUGAGCUUUUCCUUUUGAUUUAUAUAUCUCUGGGUUAUAGAUCAUCUCCUACUUGCUAGAAUUUAUUUUCUGUGCCUCUGAUAACUCCAUGUUCUGUUUGUUUUAUUGGCAUGAAAAUUACUUUGAAAAUAUACCUUCUGAUCUACAAUGGUAUGUUAUCAAAGUUUUUGUCUGAAUAUUGUGUCCGAGCAAGCACUAUGGGACAUCAAUCUUUGCAGAUCCAGUCAUGUCAACAUACCCAUAGGAUGCCUUUGAAUUUUAUCUGUGCCAGCAGACCAUACAGAUCUAAUUUUGUAGGUUCGGUGAUACAUCUGCUCUCAUGUCAUGCAAAACAGCAACCUUCUCCUUCUUUAUAUUGUGAUUUUAAAAAUUAGCAUUGGUUUGAGGAACCCCUGGAAUAAUUGAAGUGGGGUUAAAGGGAGAAGUUCGUUGUCUGACCAGUUCUGAAUAUUUCACAGCCGAAUGGCCUUUAGAAUUCAUGCAUUUUUACUACCUCCUCCAAAUUUGCUAGUGUAGUAAUAAGUUAAAAGGAGCUACUAUCUGUUCUUGAGGUUAGCAUAGCAAGAUUAACUGGUGGAUGACCGGAUGCUUAUUUCCUCUUGCUUGCUAUAUGUCAUGAUUCAUGGCCUCCAUAUGUUCAAAUCACGACUCGGGGGCAUCAGUUAGUGGCGCAUAUACUCCGUCGUUGUGAUUCCUCGAAUGAUGCUCAUUUAGUCAUUUUAUAGAUUUAGAUAUCAAUUUUUAAGCCUUAUGCUCCUUCCAUUUUAGGAUCUGCCAAUUUUCAUUCUACUGUGUGUAGCGCUGCUCACAUGAAACUCAUCACUCAUUUGCACAUAGGUUAAAGAUGGAGAUAAAGACAUGCUUUUGUGACCAAGGGGUGGAAUUCUUUUCAGCUUACAGAAACCUUCUUACCAACAUCGCUUCUUGCCGACGCACCAAUCUUUAAAAACGAACUGAUAGCUACAUGAUUUUACUUUGUUUUCCUUGGUUUAAAUCAUGUAUACAGUGUAGUGUUUGCUUUUUGACAAUUUCUUAUUCACAUGUAUGCUUUCUUUUGCAAGUUCAUUCCCAAUCUCUAAUAGCCAAUUAAUGACUGCAUGAUCUGGUUCUGCUUUAGUGCCCUCAAACUGUACUUUCAGUUAGAUGCCCAUUGAAUAAUGAUUGCUUAAUCUUCCUAUCCUUUUCCUUUGAAAUUGUGCUUCACAAAUAGUAGUCAAACAAGACUACCAUUUACUCAGGCCAUGCUUUCAAUCCCACGCCUAUUGACUAAUGAUUGCUUCUUCAGGCAUGGAAAUCCCUGUGCUGACGGUGCUUGCAAAUAUUUUCAGCCAUGGAAUAUGUGAUGUAAGGUGCAGGGGAGUAUGCGUGUCCCCAUUGGCAGAGAUCCCUGCUUUUGAAAUUUUUCCGUUUAAAAUUCAGAUAUGUCGAGUUAAGUAAAAUUCAGUGGUGAAGAAAGUCUUACGAUGUACAAUUAUUUUAGUGUAAAUCUCCGUUGGAAAAAAAUCAGUUAGUAAAGAAGGAAUACAUCAUCCUUUUUGUUAUAACAAUGUUUAUGAUACUUUGUUGCAGAGAACAAAGGGGUUGUAAGAUAUAUGGCAUAACAUGAUAAAAAACAAUGAAAUCUUAGGUAAAGAGAUAUGCUUGCUGCUCCGGUAUCAAGUGAAGAUCUUGGUUCAAUAUGCUUGUCCAGCGCCUGAAGUAUUUGGAUGAACAAUAUGUCAAUGUCAACCUACAUGAUGAUGACUUUUUCUACGCCGAGCAUUGUGAUCAAGAUGUCAAAGAAAAAAAAUCCCUGUUGUGGUGUGUGCAUUAUGAUUAUCCUUAUACAGUGGGCACAACUACUUGCUGUCCGGAUAAGCUUACUCCUUAAUACUACUCUACAUUUAGGAAUGCAGUGAGUAUGUGGUGUUUUUUUUUCUGAUGUGCAGAGUGGUGCAGUUGGAUAGUUGUUCAAGAUAAUUUUGCCUGAAGUUUUGAUAUAUUUUUAUAUUUUGAUAUAAUGUGAUCUGCCCAAAAAAUAGACAAAUAUGAAAAUUAUAUGGUCAUUGGAUGAUCUGGUUAAUUGCCAUUCAAAGACAUGAGAUCAAAAAAAUGUUUCCUUGAUGUCCACUUUUAAUGAGCUAAUAAUAAUUAUCUUUUGGCCUUGUUUUAGUUGAACCGUGCAUUGCGCAUUGCAUUCGAGGUUAUUAAUUGUUUGGGAUGAACAUUCAAUUUCUUUUCAUGUCAUUCUUGAUGAUUAGUUC